AGAGUUUGAUCCUGGCUCAGGACGAACGCUGGCGGCGUGCCUAAUACAUGCAAGUAGAACGCUGAAGAGAGGAGCUUGCUCUUCUUGGAUGAGUUGCGAACGGGUGAGUAACGCGUAGGUAACCUGCCUUGUAGCGGGGGAUAACUAUUGGAAACGAUAGCUAAUACCGCAUAACAAUGGAUGACACAUGUCAUUUAUUUGAAAGGGGCAAUUGCUCCACUACAAGAUGGACCUGCGUUGUAUUAGCUAGUAGGUGAGGUAAUGGCUCACCUAGGCGACGAUACAUAGCCGACCUGAGAGGGUGAUCGGCCACACUGGGACUGAGACACGGCCCAGACUCCUACGGGAGGCAGCAGUAGGGAAUCUUCGGCAAUGGGGGCAACCCUGACCGAGCAACGCCGCGUGAGUGAAGAAGGUUUUCGGAUCGUAAAGCUCUGUUGUAAGUCAAGAACGGGUGUGAGAGUGGAAAGUUCACACUGUGACGGUAGCCUACCAGAAAGGGACGGCUAACUACGUGCCAGCAGCCGCGGUAAUACGUAGGUCCCGAGCGUUGUCCGGAUUUAUUGGGCGUAAAGCGAGCGCAGGCGGUUUGAUAAGUCUGAAGUUAAAGGCUGUGGCUCAACCAUAGUUCGCUUUGGAAACUGUCAAACUUGAGUGCAGAAGGGGAGAGUGGAAUUCCAUGUGUAGCGGUGAAAUGCGUAGAUAUAUGGAGGAACACCGGUGGCGAAAGCGGCUCUCCGGUCUGUAACUGACGCUGAGGCUCGAAAGCGUGGGGAGCGAACAGGAUUAGAUACCCUGGUAGUCCACGCCGUAAACGAUGAGUGCUAGGUGUUGGAUCCUUUCCGGGAUUCAGUGCCGCAGCUAACGCAUUAAGCACUCCGCCUGGGGAGUACGACCGCAAGGUUGAAACUCAAAGGAAUUGACGGGGGCCCGCACAAGCGGUGGAGCAUGUGGUUUAAUUCGAAGCAACGCGAAGAACCUUACCAGGUCUUGACAUCCCGAUGCUAUUUCUAGAGAUAGAAAGUUACUUCGGUACAUCGGUGACAGGUGGUGCAUGGUUGUCGUCAGCUCGUGUCGUGAGAUGUUGGGUUAAGUCCCGCAACGAGCGCAACCCCUAUUGUUAGUUGCCAUCAUUCAGUUGGGCACUCUAGCGAGACUGCCGGUAAUAAACCGGAGGAAGGUGGGGAUGACGUCAAAUCAUCAUGCCCCUUAUGACCUGGGCUACACACGUGCUACAAUGGUUGGUACAACGAGUUGCGAGUCGGUGACGGCGAGCUAAUCUCUUAAAGCCAAUCUCAGUUCGGAUUGUAGGCUGCAACUCGCCUACAUGAAGUCGGAAUCGCUAGUAAUCGCGGAUCAGCACGCCGCGGUGAAUACGUUCCCGGGCCUUGUACACACCGCCCGUCACUCCACGAGAGUUUGUAACACCCGAAGUCGGUGAGGUAACCUUUUGGAGCCAGCCGCCUAAGGUGGGACAGAUGAUUGGGGUGAAGUCGUAACAAGGUA
Molecule: ribosomal RNA, 1506 nt
Filed under: metagenome
Description: bacterial SSU rRNA
Rfam family: Bacterial small subunit ribosomal RNA
Source: RNAcentral